AAAGAUAGUUUGGGGAGACUCUACUAGAAUGAUUCAAUGUAUGCAAACUUGUAGCUGAUCCUAAUGCCACAUUGUAAUUUCUUUGCAUAUAUAAUAUGCUUUAAGGUACAUUGAUAUUAGCUUGGUAUAUGAAGAGUGUGCUUGACAUAUAACUUCUCAAGAUUUUAGUUGAAGUGGUUCGUGUUUAUUUUAUCAUUUCUAAUUUUAUGUUUGUCAUUGACUCUGAAGCAUGUACUCCGACACAAAUAUCUGACACAACAUGGACACGUAAAGAAAAAAGGCUGGACACUGACACCACUGCAUAUAUUAAAGAUCUAAAUUGAGAAUCAAAGUGGAUCUAAAUUGAGCAAUUUAUUUUAUUAAAAACAUUUUUUCUGUGCUUCAUCACUGAUCCUUGGUUUGCUAUGAUUUGAUUUUAUAUAUCUGAGAUGUUGCUGCUGCGGUUUUUGUAAGACAGAGUUUGUGGCCGGAACUUGUGCCAAAUCUGCAGACUUCUAUUCAAAAUAGCCAUCUGCUCAGACCCUUUCAGGUAUUCGAAAUUCACUGUUGGUGGCCUUGAUAAUUUGUAAAUUUUUGUUAUUUAAUGCAAUUUGUCAUGAUAUGCUUUUUAU
RNAcentral lists this long non-coding RNA (611 nucleotides) under Trifolium pratense (red clover). RNAcentral's name for it is "long non-coding RNA (TPRA_LNC008255)". Lineage: Eukaryota; Viridiplantae; Streptophyta; Magnoliopsida; Fabales; Fabaceae. The record is from RNAcentral.